CACCCGGUAGGAAUAUUAUAUUUUGAUUAUUAGUUACACUAUUUAUCGCGCCUAAAAGUGUAGUGUAUACUAGUCUGGGAGCCGUUUUUCUUGUGGCGAUUUUUUAAAUGAAUUAUCUACGUCAAUAUUGAACCCACGGGGGGCGCCUCACCCCUGCCUUCCCCAUGGACAGUCCAGCAAUGUCUGCUUCCACUCCCCCUGUGUUUCCAGACCCAGAGAGUGAAGCAAAGCCAGAAUCAACCACCACACUAGAUAAAUAGCCAUUACUGUGACGAUGGAAUGCUGUCAGUGAGCAGCAUGGAAGAUGCAGAGAGAGUGGCGGUCAGGUGGUGGUGGAGACAGGGAGAGUAUGUGGCCUGGAGAUUAACAAACAGAACACCAAUAAUCUUGUGACCUCCAUGCACCCUUCCUAAUGUCAAUAAAGUUGUCUUAUCAUGCCCAAAA
This 444-nucleotide long non-coding RNA is filed under the name Portunus trituberculatus (swimming crab). Its description in RNAcentral is "uncharacterized LOC123502424". Lineage: Eukaryota; Metazoa; Arthropoda; Malacostraca; Decapoda; Portunidae. The record is from RNAcentral.